Molecule: long non-coding RNA, 2019 nt
Organism: Bicyclus anynana (squinting bush brown)
Lineage: Eukaryota; Metazoa; Arthropoda; Insecta; Lepidoptera; Nymphalidae
Exons: 2
Source: RefSeq, a predicted model, not a curated record
GCUGAGCUCAAGUCUCCUCCCAGAAUGAAAGGUGUUAGGUCAAAUAUUCCACCACUGGCCCAAUGUGGAUUGGCAGAGGGAUAAGGCCAAAUAGUCCACCACUGGCCCAAUGUGGAUUGGCAGAGGGAUAAGGCCAAAUAGUCCACCACUGGCCCAAUUGGCAGACUUCACACAUGCAGAGAAUGAAGAAAAUUCUCAAGUGUGUGUUCGUGUUUCCUCACGAUGUUUGAGACACGUGAUAUUUUGUUUAUUAAAAAGCACAUAACUGAAAAGUUGGAUGUGCAUGCCCGGACUAGAUUUGAAUCUACACAUCCUCCGGAAUAGGAGGAAGAGGUCAUAUCCACUGGGCUAUCACGGGCUAUUAAAUAUAACUAAUAUUCCCUGAUAUAUGGCGAGACAAUAGUCCAGCGGGUAGGGAUCGAACUCGUUGUGCUUACAUUUUCAAAUUUUCGAAGCGCUUGCGAUUGUAGAAAGAGAAUCGACGUGACACAUGGCUACAUUGAUGUCUAAUUGAUUUAUUUUGUUAUUUUUAUUAAAGACCGACUAAUACAAGCGACGACGGCGACGUCAGAAAUUGUUCUUCGUACGUUCCACUCUGAAACCGGAGCAUCCUCAGGAGAAAUUGACUGCACAAUAUUCAAUUGUGAAAAUGACAUUCUUUUCUAAAAACUUCAUAAAGUCUAAAAUUCAAUCUUUUUCAAUAAAAAAUAAAUUGUUUAAAGAAUGCGAAUUAUGUCGAUGUCAGAUCUAGGAGACGACAUCGCUUUCAUUCAUCGGUUUUUGCUGAAAAUAACAAAAUAAAUCAGGGGCCUAAUUGUCUAACGCAAACGAUUGAAUUUGACAGUUGAAAUCGUACGUUUUUACUCGUCAAACGGCUAUUUCGGAUUGUGUAAGCCAAUGGAAAGCCAUCGGUUGGGCAUAGUUAGUUCAUUACGAUUAGAUCGUUAUUUUUAUACGAAGAGUGAAUGAUUUGUUAAGAUUUGACAGUUAUUUGCGAUUGUCUUCGAAUUGUGUAAAGUUUUAUGUUCAUGGCUUAUGUCAAAAACUUACGAUGGGUCUUGAGUCACCUUUGAUCGUAAAACGGACAAAUUGUGGAUGUCCAAAAUUCCAAAAUAAUAAUUUAUAUUUUAUUAAAUAUCUAAAAUUAAUAUUUUUUUCCAUUCUAAAUCUCUCAAUUCAUUCUCCCCGUCCACAGUUAGCAUUUUUAGGACGAAACUUUGCGAAGUGUUUUGUUUGUAAACAAUGAACUCUGUUAAAAAGAGUAAUAAAUAAUAUAUUCUUUGCAAUGAAAAGUCAAAACAAUGAAGUUAAUUGAGUGCUAUUAAUCGAUUUAUAUAGGAUGCUGAGACUUGGACUCUGAGAGAAAGUGAGAAAAAGAAUAUACACGCUCUAGAAAUCUGUUGAAGAAGAAUGCUUGCAUAUCCUGGACACAGUCUCACUCCUCCAAGAACUGGGGAUCAAACAGCAUCUUUCUUCCAGCAUCCAAUGUCUUCUUACACACACUUUCUUUGGACGUACCAGAGAAAGAGACGAUAAUUCCAUAGAGCGACAUAAACUCAAUACCUACGAUAUUUAAUACCAUACCAUGUUUUAGAUUUCUGCGACAUCUUGCAUGUUGUUGUAUCCAAUGUGUUGGGAUCUGUGUUCCAGGGCUUAUGUGUGUGGUUUAGUUAAGUUUGCUGGUUAUAAAGCAAAAAGGAAUCGAAUUUCAUUUUUAAAAUUAUGAAUAUGGCGAACGAACUCUUUCGUCAUCGCUCAUAGGAUAUUUGGAAUAUGCCCUAUAACUGCAGACUCCAAUAUUGCAAAAAGCACCUGCAAUACAGUGGAAUAACAUAUUGGUGUGCUGAAGAAAAGAUGGCAAAGGCUUUUAGCUGAUAGGACAUUGUACUGAUGACCCUGUUAUCUGGUCAAAUCAUAAAUGUGUGUGUAUUAUCAAAAUAUUUGCAUAGAUUGUGAAAUGCUGAUGAUAUUUGAUUUGGUCUUUGAUAUUUGAAAAUAAAAGAAUACUUACUUCGCUGA